GACGUAGGAGGCGAGCGUUGUCCGGAUUUACUGGGCGUAAAGCGUGCGCAGGCGGUUCGCUAAGACCGAUGUGAAAUCCCCGGGCUUAACCUGGGAACUGCAUUGGUGACUGGCGGGCUAGAGUAUGGCAGAGGGGGGUAGAAUUCCACGUGUAGCAGUGAAAUGCGUAGAGAUGUGGAGGAAUACCGAUGGCGAAGGCAGCCCCCUGGGCCAAUACUGACGCUCAUGCACGAAAGCGUGGGGAGCAAACAGG
RNAcentral lists this ribosomal RNA (253 nucleotides) under uncultured bacterium. Its description in RNAcentral is "partial 16S ribosomal RNA". It matches the Rfam family "Bacterial small subunit ribosomal RNA", at positions 524 to 776 of the family's 1533-position model. The record is from RNAcentral.